RNAcentral lists this ribosomal RNA (469 nucleotides) under uncultured bacterium. Its description in RNAcentral is "partial 16S ribosomal RNA". It matches the Rfam family "Bacterial small subunit ribosomal RNA", at positions 27 to 507 of the family's 1533-position model. The record is from RNAcentral.
GGACGAACGCUGGCGGCGUGCUUAACACAUGCAAGUCGAACGGAAAGGCCCUGCUUUUGUGGGGUGCUCGAGUGGCGAACGGGUGAGUAACACGUGAGUAACCUGCCCUUGACUUUGGGAUAACUUCAGGAAACUGGGUCUAAUACCGGAUAGGAGCUCCUUCUGCAUGGUGGGGGUUGGAAAUUUUCGGCGGUUGGGGAUGGACUCGCGGCUUAUCAGCUUGUUGGUGGGGUAGUGGCUUACCAAGGCUUUGACGGGUAGCCGGCCUGGGAGGGUGACCGGCCACAUUGGGACUGAGAUACGGCCCAGACUCCUACGGGAGGCAGCAGUGGGGAAUAUUGCACAAUGGGCGGAAGCCUGAUGCAGCAACGCCGCGUGCGGGAUGACGGCCUUCGGGUUGUAAACCGCUUUCGCCUGUGACGAAGCGUGAGUGACGGUAAUGGGUAAAGAAGCACCGGCUAACUACGUG